This is a long non-coding RNA of Sceloporus undulatus (fence lizard), 4607 nucleotides long. RefSeq lists it as uncharacterized. The record is from RefSeq and is a predicted model, not a curated record. The transcript has 4 exons. NCBI's taxonomy places the organism in Eukaryota, Metazoa, Chordata, Lepidosauria, Squamata, Phrynosomatidae.
AAGUACCUAUAGAAAGCAUAAAUGCAAUGUUCGUUCCCAAUCAGUAUUAGCUUUUACUGCAUUUCAAUAUAAAUUAGCAUUAAGAAUUAAGGGCAAAAUAUGUGUACCGGAUUGUGACAUCAGUUUUCUGAUAGCCAUCAUACUGUGUGUGCUUUUGGAGAGCAUGCAUGUCCAGUUCAGGGCUUCCACAAACUAGAAUUUCAACCUCUUCAGGACGAAGCAGCUGCCAAAAAAGUAAAUUUGAAAGCAAAUUCAUUAAUCAGGAAGCACUGUAUUUAUAUUUAUUUAGUUUCACUUUGAUUCUGAAAUUAAUACAAAUUUAAAUUGAUGGUGUAUGGAGUAGUAUGUGAGUAUUAAUGUAUAGUACUGCUAAGAUGUUAAGAAAAGAAACCACAUUGUUACUAUCCUACAAAAUACAAGAAUGAAGAAAAGCAUCUAAUCUACAAUUGAGCACUUUGUGCAACCAUAGACUUUUUCAGUAGGUAAGAUCAGCAAUUUAGCCAGGUUCUCCUAUGUAUAAGCAGAGCACAUAAGCUGUUGCACCAUCCUGACUUCUACAGAAUUUAUCAAACUACUCCCACACAAGAUGCAUUGAAUAGUUAGAUUUUGGGGGAAAUCAUGUAUUUGAGAAGCCUAGGUUCUUUCCUAUAAAUGAUGUCUAUAACUUCAAAUGUCAAGAGGCAACAAGACAAAGUACAAUUGAUACGAUUCUAUGAUUCUAUGAUACACCAUCCAUCUCUCAGGUACAUCUCUUUCCAAUACUUCUCCCUAAACUUAAGGGGUGACCAGUUUUAAAACUGGGUGAAAAAGUACCCUGAAGCAGAGAAACAAGAAAGUGAGUACACAAGACACUUUAAGCUAUAGUUGACAUAUUCCACUUCCUUAAUUCACAGGGCAAAUGCAGAACAGAGUGACAAACUGCAGUCAUUCAAGAAAAACCGCUACAAACUUCUUUUAUUAACUUUGAAGGCCCUUCAUGGACUAGCUCCCCCUUAUUGUCUGCACUCAUCUUCUCUUACCACCCUUCUCAUGAAUUAAGAUCCUGUAACUCCAGUCUCUUGACUCAGCCGAGGUUCUCCUCUUCCACUGCUCAGAUCUGCCCCUUCUCCCAUGCUGCUCCCCACACCUGGAAUCUCAUCCCUAGACAAUUAAGAACCAUCACCUCCAUGGCCAGUUUUAAGGCCGAGUUGAAGAUGUUUCUGUUUAAGGAGGCUUUCAGAAUCAUUGGCUAUUAAUCUGUUUCCAUGUCUGUGUCUUCUUUGUAUACUAGCUGGUACUUUUUAAGUUCUGUUCAAAUUUAAUAAUUUUGUUGUUUUAGAAUGUAUGCACUUGGCAGGUUUUACUUCAUUUUAUUCUUAUUUUUAUUCUGAUUGCUGAUAUGUAAAGUGCUGUGUAAAUCCUACAGCACUAUAUAAAUAAAUAUUAAUAAAUAAUAAAAACAAAAACGCAUGGUAUGAUUUUGUUCAGAAAUGCAGAUUAAAUAUUGUAUUAUGAGUAGAAAACAGCCUAGUUUAGCUUUCCUUGAUACAUUCAACUUUUUAUUACAAUGAAAAUAUUAAACAGUUAAUCUAUGCUAGGAUGUCUGUUCUCCCACCCAAAUCCUAUAUAUAAAUAUCUGCCAAUUGAUGCACUGCUCCCUACAUCUAAUAAAGAGGCUGCAGUCCCUUAUAAAAAUAAGACUUAAUAGCCUGUAAGGGUAGCUUUGGUUGGCUGGAUAAAAGUAUACAUUAAAUCUGGUUGUUUAUGCUGCAAAACACAGGUACCUAACACAGUUACCCCCCUGUAAGAAAAAAAUACUUCAAAAUGAAUACCAAUCCAACAUGGCAGAAGUGUUCCCCCACCCUUAAUUCCAUUCCUGUAGUGCUCCUCAACGCAGAUCCUUUCUACACCUUAAUCCCCAUAGCUGCUGUUUUAUUUUCCUUAUAAAGUAUACAAUAUAAGUAAAUGUAGGAUACAUAUGCGAGUGAACAGUUAAAAUGCCCAUACCAGAUUCUCUCAACAGAAAUGUGGAGAUCGUUCACAAAAAAGGCUUGAGAUUCUUGCAGAUUACUGCAAAGAAACAACAGCUCUUGAAACAGAGAGCCUCACUGAUUACUGAUUGGUUUCUCUUCAUGUCACCUUCAGAUCCAAGGUAAUUUUGUUCCUGCACAAGGCAGAGGCACCAUAGCCAAUCAACAUUCAACUCCUUCCAAGAAGCUCCAGUUGUCUUUUAAAAAGCAAGUAUUUUUGAAAAUCUUAAUGAAUAAGGUGACCAACUCAGGCCACUGGAGGAAUGGAUUGCGCUCUUCCCCUCCUGCUGAAGAACCUUUGCUCUGCUCCUAAACUACUCAACACCCAUUCUUUCCCUUCCCUGUACCCACCUCAUACCUCUGCUAUGCUACUACUUUCUCUUGUUAUUUGCACUGUACUGCUGCACUUGCUACUAUCCCUCCCCCUCACCUUCUGAAGCCUUGCAUCUUGUUCAUGCAUUCUUUCUUCUCUUCUGCUGUCUCACCUCAAUCUGUGUCCUAGCAAUGUGCCCCUCUUUUCUCUUCUCACUCACACGACACACUCUUUGUACUUUAAGACAUCUUGCCUCACCUCUCCCUGUAAUCUCAAAAUAGGAUUAUUCUUUUCAUUCCUCCCUUGCUUCUUCCACUCAGUCCCUUCCACUAUUCAAUCUCCUGUCCUUCCUACUCCGCUCUUGCCUUCCAAUGCACUCUCCCCUUGAUUCUUGCACUCCACAAUCGUCACGACUUGCUCUCACAUGUCUCCCACUCCUCCAUUGCCUCUCCAAGUGCCCAUGCAAUGGAUCCUUCUUUUUGCACAUCACAGUUUACACUGUUCACUUGGUCACUCUCCUACUGCCUCCACGCAUCGCUUAUUCUUCCAUGUCUCACCUGAUGUUGUGGCCUUUCAGCAUGCUGCUUCCUUGCAUCUUGCACUCUGCUAUUCACACCACUUGCUCUACAUUUCUUCUACUCCCUUCCCUUGCCUCUGCUCAUGUCCUCAAUGCACUUUUCCCUUGCUUCUUUUACUUUGCUGUUCACACCAUGAUUGUGCUGUCUCUCCUGCUCCCCCCUCACCUUUUCCCACCACUGCAACACAUCCAGAGUGACAAGAUGUCCUUGCCAUAAAGGAGGACAAGACACUCCAAAAUGUAGGACAUUACAAAAUAAAAGCUAAAAACACUAAUAUAAAUUCAUGCUUCUUAGUCAUGUUCAAAAUGGAGGACAUUUUGAAAUUCCUCCUGGAUGGAAGGUUGAAAUUUAGGGUGUGUCCUAGAAAAUUACGGUGUCUGGUCAUCCUCAACACAUCACUCUUUUACUUUUUGCACUCCACCACUUGUACUCCUGAAUUCCUACCACUGUCUCACCUGUCCUUAGACACUUGCAAUGCAUCCCUUGUGCCUUUCUCUUGCAUCUUGCACUCUCCUUGCUCCCUAGUGUCUACUACUCCUUUCGACAAGAGAAUCCCACUGUGUGACCCUCUUGUUUCUUGAACUCCACCACUUGCACUGUUCACUCUCCUCUUUGUGCUCCCUUCCACUCUUCCUUUACCUGUUGUACUUUGCCAUCAUAACUCUUGCUUGUCACUCUUCCCUAUUACCUCCCCUUCCAUGCCUGAAUGUAUCACUCUCUUGUGCCUCCUGUACUUGCACUCUGAAACUUGCAACACUUACUCUCCUGUCUCUCAAAAUUCCCUUCCUUGUGUCACAGUGCUCUUUUCAGUGUGACCCCUUGCAUCUUGCAUGCUGCUGUUCACACCACUUGCUUCCCCAUCUCUCCUACUCCCACCCUCACCUGUACUUCUACCCUCACAAUGCAUGCCCUGUUUCCCCUUCUCUUGCUUCUGGCCACUCUGCCACUUGCAGUAGCAUACUCUCUUGCUCCCUUGUCUCCUACUCCCUCCCUUGCCUGCCCUCAUAAUGUGUCCUUCUUGAACAUAGCCACUCACACUACUUGCUCUCCUUCUGGUUUCACUCUUUUUCUGCUUGGUGCUUAUGGUGGAGUGCAAUGUAUUCUUUCCAUGCACCCCUCCCUUGCUCCAUGCACUCCACCAGUCCCAUCUCUCCUACCCUUCCACUGCCCCUCUUCAUAACUUUUUGAAUGCCACCACUGCCUUUUGUUUUUGUUGCAGAUCCAUUUUACAGAAGAUUGCCACCAUAUUUUGCCACAUACUUUGGCUUCAACAAGGGAUAGAGACUUUGCCCCCCAAUGAAAGCUUGGAAACUAGGCCAGUUAAUGAUCCAAACAAACACUGAGCGGCAUAAACUAUCUGGGUGGUUGUAACAUUUUAUGACUCCGAAUUCUUCUUGAAAAACCUGAAAAGAAAAGACACGGAACAUAGAAAAAUCUACCAUAAUAGAGGACAGAAAGCAAGCCUACCUGAAAAGCAAGUUCCACAACACUAAAAGUCCACCUGUAUUACCACCUUUCAUAGUUCUAAUUCUGGAAGAGCAACACUGACUGGACCUCCACAGAACCUUCUACAUGUACAGAAACGCUGUUAUGGAAUAAGGAGAUCCAUAAUAACCUGAACUAUUUAGUACUAUUUAAUUUUUGAGUUAACUUGUUAAUCUUUAUGGACUCAUUUUGGGUGUGUUUUUAAAAACCAUGAAAAUCAAA